UACGUAGGGUGCAAGCGUUGUCCGGAAUUAUUGGGCGUAAAGAGCUCGUAGGCGGUUUGUCGCGUCUGCUGUGAAAACUCGGGGCUUAACUCCGGGCCUGCAGUGGGUACGGGCAGACUAGAGUGCGGUAGGGGAGACUGGAAUUCCUGGUGUAGCGGUGAAAUGCGCAGAUAUCAGGAGGAACACCGGUGGCGAAGGCGGUUCUCUGGGCAUGUUCUGACGCUGAGGAGCGAAAGUGUGGGGAGCGAACAGG
This 253-nucleotide ribosomal RNA is filed under the name uncultured bacterium. RNAcentral's name for it is "partial 16S ribosomal RNA". It matches the Rfam family "Bacterial small subunit ribosomal RNA", at positions 524 to 776 of the family's 1533-position model. The record is from RNAcentral.